UGGGGAAUUUUGGACAAUGGGCGAAAGCCUGAUCCAGCAAUGCCGCGUGUGUGAAGAAGGCCUUCGGGUUGUAAAGCACUUUUGUCCGGAAAGAAAUCCUUGGCUCUAAUACAGUCGGGGGAUGACGGUACCGGAAGAAUAAGCACCGGCUAACUACGUGCCAGCAGCCGCGGUAAUACGUAGGGUGCAAGCGUUAAUCGGAAUUACUGGGCGUAAAGCGUGCGCAGGCGGUUUGCUAAGACCGAUGUGAAAUCCCCGGGCUCAACCUGGGAACUGCAUUGGUGACUGGCAGGCUAGAGUAUGGCAGAGGGGGGUAGAAUUCCACGUGUAGCAGUGAAAUGCGUAGAGAUGUGGAGGAAUACCGAUGGCGAAGGCAGCCCCCUGGGCCAAUACUGACGCUCAUGCACGAAAGCGUGGGGAGCAAACAGGAUUAGACUACCCUGGUAGUCCACGCCCUAAACGAUGUCGAACUAGUUGUUGGGGAUUCAUUUCCUUAGUAACGUAGCUAACGCGUGAAGUUGACCGCC
Molecule: ribosomal RNA, 527 nt
Filed under: uncultured bacterium
Lineage: Bacteria
Description: partial 16S ribosomal RNA
Rfam family: Bacterial small subunit ribosomal RNA
Source: RNAcentral